AGCGUCUUCGGGGCGUAAGUAAGUGGCGCAGGGUGAGUACACGUGGGUAUCUACUUUUUGGUGGGGGACUACCGCUCUAACGGGCGGCUAAUACCGCGACAGUCCCCGCAGACCUCGGUUUGCGGGGGGAAAGAUGGCCUCUCCAUGGAAGCUAUCGCCGAAAGAGGAGCCGCGGGCCAUCAGCUUGUUGGUAAGGUAACGGCUUACCAAGGCUAUGACGGGUAGCUGGUCUGAGAGGAUGAUCAGCCACACUGGGACUGAGACACGGCCCAGACUCCUACGGGAGGCAGCAGUGGGGAAUAUUGGACAAUGGGCGAAAGCCUGAUCCAGCCACGCCGCGUGUGUGAUGAAGGCCUUCGGGUCGUAAAGCACUGUGGGGAGGAAAGAAACACGGACGGAAUAAUACCCGGACGGAUUGACGGUACCUCCUUAGCAAGCACCGGCUAACUCCGUGCCAGCAGCCGCGGUAAUACGGAGGGUGCAAACGUUGCUCGGAAUCAUUGGGCGUAAAGGGCGCGUAGGCGGCUGGGAAAGUCAGAUGUGAAAGCCCUUGGCUUAACUGAGGAAUUGCAUCUGAAAC
Molecule: ribosomal RNA, 580 nt
Filed under: uncultured organism
Description: bacterial SSU rRNA
Rfam family: Bacterial small subunit ribosomal RNA
Source: RNAcentral